AUCGAACGCUGGCGGCAGGCCUAACACAUGCAAGUCGAACGAGCGGCGGACGGGUGAGUAAUGUCUGGGUAACUGCCCGAUGGAGGGGGAUAACUACUGGAAACGGUAGCUAAUACCGCAUACCAUCGGAUGUGCCCAGAUGGGAUUAGCUUGUAGGUGAGGUAACGGCUCCACUAGGCGACGAUCCCUAGCUGGUCUGAGAGGAUGACCAGCCACACUGGAACUGAGGGACGGUCCAGACUCCUACGGGAGGCAGCGGUGGGGAAUAUUGCACAAUUGGCGCAAGCCUGAUGCAGCCAUGCCGCGUGUAUGACGAAGGCCUUCGGGUUGUAAAGUACUUUCAGCGGGGAGGCGUUACCCGCAGAAGAAGCGCCGGCUAACUCCGUGCCAGCAGCCGCGGUAAUAC
This 406-nucleotide ribosomal RNA is filed under the name uncultured bacterium. RNAcentral's name for it is "partial 16S ribosomal RNA". It matches the Rfam family "Bacterial small subunit ribosomal RNA", at positions 30 to 526 of the family's 1533-position model. The record is from RNAcentral.